UCCAAUAUAAGAAUGACACGUGUAAACUAUGUCAGAAGAUAACAUUAACCCACUUGCUUCUCCUUAAUAGUGCUUAAGACUCCCAUAGUUUCCAUGCAUACCAGUUUUAUCAGUCUUGUGAUCCGUUGUCCAUUUUGAAACAGGAAUAAACGAGCGUGACAAAAAAGUAAAAAAUAAAAAUAAAGAAGAAGUUAAAUUUCAGUUGACCCCUCAAAAAAAAAAAAGGAAAACAAA
Molecule: long non-coding RNA, 234 nt
Filed under: Capsella rubella
Lineage: Eukaryota; Viridiplantae; Streptophyta; Magnoliopsida; Brassicales; Brassicaceae
Description: long non-coding RNA (CRUB_LNC004553)
Source: RNAcentral